UGCUUUGCACAGUGGCAGUAUCAUUGCCAGUGAUGUUAAUCUGAGGUGCAAUUACUGCUAAUUUAAAACUUUUCCCAAUAUGCUGCAACGAUGAUUAGAAAUGUAGUUGGUAUUGACAAUUUUCCAUUGCAUUGCAUAUGG
Molecule: small nuclear RNA, 141 nt
Organism: Sphaerodactylus townsendi
Lineage: Eukaryota; Metazoa; Chordata; Lepidosauria; Squamata; Sphaerodactylidae
Product: U4 spliceosomal RNA
Exons: 1
Source: RefSeq, a predicted model, not a curated record